GUUCGUACUAAUUAAAGAAAACUCUGCUUAGGUGUCACUUAAUUAAGAUGACAAUUUAACUUACGUGGGAGCUUAAAAAUCAAUUGAAAAAAUUAUUGGUCCAAAAUCCAAUUACUAGGAAACAUUAUAUUAAUCUAAAAUAUAAGAAGCGUGUAUUAUUUUUUUAAAUAAAAUCUACGGAAUUACAUAUAUGUGGAAAUUAAUGACUAUGAAUAAUAAAUAGAAUUUGAUAAUAAUUUUUGCAUCAUUCUUAAUUUUUGUUUAAUUUAUCUCCACUAUAUAAAAUGAACUAAAUUGAAGUAAUUCUAGGGGUGCCACAUAGCACAAAAUAUUCCUAACCAAUCAUUUGUUCAUGUAAUCAAAGUUGUUAAGCUGUUGGGUCACGAAUCUGUGAUGCGUAAUAUGCCAAUUUCUUUUAUUGACCCGUUUGUAUUAAUUUCCUCUUCUUUACGGCGUCUACAGACCCUCCAAAACUCACUGUCUUCCCAUUUCCUCCGUAUAACGCCUGCGACGGAAUCAAAGUUAUCCUCCAGACAAAUCGGUGUGUAAUUCUCCACAUCCCUCCUC
RNAcentral lists this long non-coding RNA (567 nucleotides) under Brassica napus (rape). RNAcentral's name for it is "long non-coding RNA (BNAP_LNC006481)". The record is from RNAcentral. Lineage: Eukaryota; Viridiplantae; Streptophyta; Magnoliopsida; Brassicales; Brassicaceae.